This 705-nucleotide ribosomal RNA is filed under the name uncultured bacterium. Its description in RNAcentral is "bacterial SSU rRNA". It matches the Rfam family "Bacterial small subunit ribosomal RNA", at positions 1 to 761 of the family's 1533-position model. The record is from RNAcentral.
UUAGAGUUUGAUCCUGGCUCAGAACGAACGCUGGCGGCAGGCCUAACACAUGCAAGUCGAACGCUGUAGCAAUACAGAGUGGCAGACGGGUGAGUAACACGUGGGAAUCUUCCUAUCGGUACGGAAUAGCUCAGGGAAACUUGGGGUAAUACCGCAUACGCCCUUCGGGGGAAAGAUUUAUCGCCGAUAGAUGAGCCCGCGUCUGAUUAGCUAGUUGGUGAGGUAAUGGCUCACCAAGGCGACGAUCAGUAGCUGGUCUGAGAGGAUGACCAGCCACACUGGGACUGAGACACGGCCCAGACUCCUACGGGAGGCAGCAGUGGGGAAUAUUGGACAAUGGGCGCAAGCCUGAUCCAGCCAUGCCGCGUGAGUGACGAAGGUCUUCGGAUUGUAAAGCUCUUUUGGCGGGGACGAUAAUGACGGUACCCGCAGAAUAAGCCCCGGCUAACUUCGUGCCAGCAGCCGCGGUAAUACGAAGGGGGCUAGCGUUGUUCGGAAUUACUGGGCGUAAAGCGCACGUAGGCGGAUUGCUAAGUCAGGGGUGAAAUCCCGGGGCUCAACCUCGGAACUGCCUUUGAUACUGUCAGUCUUGAGUCCGGAAGAGGUGAGUGGAAUUCCUAGUGUAGAGGUGAAAUUCGUAGAUAUUAGGAAGAACACCAGUGGCGAAGGCGGCUCACUGGUCCGGUACUGACGCUAGUCGAAGCG